GAGGUUAAGCGACUAAGCGUACACGGUGGAUGCCUAGGCAGUCAGAGGCGAUGAAGGGCGUGCUAAUCUGCGAUAAGCGUCGGUAAGCUGAUAUGAAGCGUUAUACCCGACGAUACCCGAAUGGGGAAACCCAGUGUGUUUCGACACACUAUCAUUACGUGAAUACAUAGCGUAAUGAGGCGAACCGGGGGAACUGAAACAUCUCAGUACCCCGAGGAAAAGAAAUCAACCGAGAUUCCCCUAGUAGCGGCGAGCGAACGGGGAGGAGCCCAGAACCUGAAUCAGUUUGUGUGUUAGUGGAAGCGUCUGGAAAGUCGCACAGUAAAGGGUGAUAGUCCCGUACACAAAAAUGCACAGAUUGUGAGUUCGAUGAGUAGGGCGGGACACGUGACAUCCUGUCUGAAUAUGGGGGGACCAUCCUCCAAGGCUAAAUACUCCUGACUGACCGAUAGUGAACCAGUACCGUGAGGGAAAGGCGAAAAGAACCCCGGCGAGGGGAGUGAAAUAGAACCUGAAACCGUGUACGUACAAGCAGUGGGAGCCUUGAUUAAUCAGGGUGACUGCGUACCUUUUGUAUAAUGGGUCAGCGACUUAUAUUCUGUAGCAAGGUUAACCGUAUAGGGGAGCCGUAGGGAAACCGAGUCUUAACUGGGCGUUAAGUUGCAGGGUAUAGACCCGAAACCCGGUGAUCUAGCCAUGGGCAGGUUGAAGGUUGGGUAACACUAACUGGAGGACCGAACCGACUAAUGUUGAAAAAUUAGCGGAUGACUUGUGGCUGGGGGUGAAAGGCCAAUCAAACCGGGAGAUAGCUGGUUCUCCCCGAAAGCUAUUUAGGUAGCGCCUCGUGAAUUCAUCUUCGGGGGUAGAGCACUGUUUCGGCUAGGGGGUCAUCCCGACUUACCAACCCGAUGCAAACUACGAAUACCGAAGAAUGUUAUCACGGGAGACACACGGCGGGUGCUAACGUUCGUCGUGAAGAGGGAAACAACCCAGACCGCCAGCUAAGGUCCCAAAGUCAUGGUUAAGUGGGAAACGAUGUGGGAAGGCACAGACAGCCAGGAUGUUGGCUUAGAAGCAGCCAUCAUUUAAAGAAAGCGUAAUAGCUCACUGGUCGAGUCGGCCUGCGCGGAAGAUGUAACGGGGCUAAACCAUGCACCGAAGCUGCGGCAGCGACACUUAGGUGUUGUUGGGUAGGGGAGCGUUCUGUAAGCCGUCGAAGGUGGCCUGUGAGGGUUGCUGGAGGUAUCAGAAGUGCGAAUGCUGACAUAAGUAACGAUAAUGCGGGUGAAAAACCCGCACGCCGGAAGACCAAGGGUUCCUGUCCAACGUUAAUCGGGGCAGGGUGAGUCGACCCCUAAGGCGAGGCUGAAAAGCGUAGUCGAUGGGAAACAGGUUAAUAUUCCUGUACUCGGUGUUACUGCGAAGGGGGGACGGAGAAAGCUAGGUUAUCCGGGCGACGGUUGUCCCGGUUUAAGCGUGAAGGUGGAUGACUUUGGUAAAUCCGGGUCGUCAUUAACACUGAGGCGUGAUGACGAGUCACUACGGUGAUGAAGUAACCAAUGCUACGCUUCCAGGAAAAGCCUCUAAGCUCCAGGUAACAUCAAAUCGUACCCCAAACCGACACAGGUGGUCAGGUAGAGAAUACUCAGGCGCUUGAGAGAACUCGGGUGAAGGAACUAGGCAAAAUGGUGCCGUAACUUCGGGAGAAGGCACGCUGAUGGUAGGUGAAGUGACUUGCUCACGGAGCUGAAAUCAGUCGAAGAUACCAGCUGGCUGCAACUGUUUAAUAAAAACACAGCACUGUGCAAACACGAAAGUGGACGUAUACGGUGUGACGCCUGCCCGGUGCCGGAAGGUUAAUUGAUGGGGUCAGCCGCAAGGCGAAGCUCUUGAUCGAAGCCCCGGUAAACGGCGGCCGUAACUAUAACGGUCCUAAGGUAGCGAAAUUCCUUGUCGGGUAAGUUCCGACCUGCACGAAUGGCGUAAUGAUGGCCAGGCUGUCUCCACCCGAGACUCAGUGAAAUUGAACUCGCUGUGAAGAUGCAGUGUACCCGCGGCAAGACGGAAAGACCCCGUGAACCUUUACUAUAGCUUGACACUGAACCUUGAGCCUUGAUGUGUAGGAUAGGUGGGAGGCUUUGAAGCGUGGACGCCAGUCUGCGUGGAGCCAACCUUGAAAUACCACCCUUUAAUGUUUGAUGUUCUAACGUGGGCCCGUGAUCCGGGUUGCGGACAGUGUCUGGUGGGUAGUUUGACUGGGGCGGUCUCCUCCCAAAGCGUAACGGAGGAGCACGAAGGUUAGCUAAUCCUGGUCGGACAUCAGGAGGUUAGUGCAAAGGCAUAAGCUAGCUUGACUGCGAGAGUGACAGCUCGAGCAGGUGCGAAAGCAGGUCUUAGUGAUCCGGUGGUUCUGAAUGGAAGGGCCAUCGCUCAACGGAUAAAAGGUACUCCGGGGAUAACAGGCUGAUACCGCCCAAGAGUUCAUAUCGACGGCGGUGUUUGGCACCUCGAUGUCGGCUCAUCACAUCCUGGGGCUGAAGUAGGUCCCAAGGGUAUGGCUGUUCGCCAUUUAAAGUGGUACGCGAGCUGGGUUUAGAACGUCGUGAGACAGUUCGGUCCCUAUCUGCCGUGGGCGUUGGAAGAUUGAGAGGGGUUGCUCCUAGUACGAGAGGACCGGAGUGAACGCACCACUGGUGUUCGGGUUGUGAUGCCAAUUGCAUUGCCCGGUAGCUAAGUGCGGAAGAGAUAACCGCUGAAAGCAUCUAAGCGGGAAACUUGCCUCGAGAUGAGUCUUCCCUGGGCACUAGAUGCCCCUGAAGGGCCGUUGAAGACUACGACGUAGAUAGGCUGGGUGUGUAAGCGUAGCGAUACGUUGAGCUAACCAGUACUAAUGACCCGAGAGGCUUAACCUUA
RNAcentral lists this ribosomal RNA (2913 nucleotides) under Pectobacterium carotovorum. RNAcentral's name for it is "bacterial LSU rRNA". It matches the Rfam family "Bacterial large subunit ribosomal RNA". The record is from RNAcentral. Lineage: Bacteria; Pseudomonadati; Pseudomonadota; Gammaproteobacteria; Enterobacterales; Pectobacteriaceae.